AUGCAAGUCGAGGGGUAAGGUAGCAAUAUCUGAGACCGGCGCACGGGUGCGUAACGCGUAUGCAAUCUACCUUUUGCAGAGGGAUAGCCCAGAGAAAUUUGGAUUAAUACCUCAUAGUAUAGUACCUUCGCAUGGAGGAACUAUUAAAGUCACAACGGCAAAAGAUGAGCAUGCGUCCCAUUAGUUAGUUGGUAAGGUAACGGCUUACCAAGACAGCGAUGGGUAGGGGUCCUGAGAGGGAGAUCCCCCACACUGGUACUGAGACACGGACCAGACUCCUACGGGAGGCAGCAGUGAGGAAUAUUGGACAAUGGGCGCAAGCCUGAUCCAGCCAUGCCGCGUGCAGGAUGACGGUCCUAUGGAUUGUAAACUGCUUUUGCACAGGAAGAAACACCCCGACGUGUCGGGGCUUGACGGUACUGUGAGAAUAAGGAUCGGCUAACUCCGUGCCAGCAGCCGCGGUAAUACGGAGGAUCCAAGCGUUAUCCGGAAUCAUUGGGUUUAAAGGGUCCGUAGGCGGUUUAGUAAGUCAGUGGUGAAAGCCCAUCGCUCAACGGUGGAACGGCCAUUGAUACUGCUAGACUUGAAUUAUAAGGAAGUAACUAGAAUAUGUAGUGUAGCGGUGAAAUGCUUAGAGAUUACAUGGAAUACCAAUUGCGAAGGCAGGUUACUACUUAUGGAUUGACGCUGAUGGACGAAAGCGUGGGUAGCGGACAGGAUUAGAUACCCUGGUAGUCCACGCCGUAAACGAUGGAUACUAGCUGUUGGGCGCAAGUUCAGUGGCUAAGCGAAAGUGAUAAGUAUCCCACCUGGGGAGUACGUUCGCAAGAAUGAAACUCAAAGGAAUUGACGGGGGCCCGCACAAGCGGUGGAGCAUGUGGUUUAAUUCGAUGAUACGCGAGGAACCUACCAAGGCUUAAAUGUAGAUUGACCCGUUUGGAACAGAACUUUCGCAAG
RNAcentral lists this ribosomal RNA (957 nucleotides) under uncultured Flavobacteriaceae bacterium. Its description in RNAcentral is "bacterial SSU rRNA". It matches the Rfam family "Bacterial small subunit ribosomal RNA", at positions 55 to 1025 of the family's 1533-position model. The record is from RNAcentral. Lineage: Bacteria; Pseudomonadati; Bacteroidota; Flavobacteriia; Flavobacteriales; Flavobacteriaceae.